GUCGCAGAUACCAGGUGGCUGCAACUGUUUAUUAAAAACACAGCACUGUGCAAAAUCGUAAGAUGACGUAUACGGUGUGACGCCUGCCCGGUGCCGGAAGGUUAAUUGAUGGGGUUAGACUUCGGUCGAAGCUCUUGAUCGAAGCCCCGGUAAACGGCGGCCGUAACUAUAACGGUCCUAAGGUAGCGAAAUUCCUUGUCGGGUAAGUUCCGACCUGCACGAAUGGCGUAAUGAUGGCCACGCUGUCUCCACCCGAGACUCAGUGAAAUUGAAAUCGCUGUGAAGAUGCAGUGUACCCGCGGCUAGACGGAAAGACCCCGUGAACCUUUACUACAGCUUGGCACUGAACAUUGACCCUACAUGUGUAGGAUAGGUGGGAGGCUUUGAAGCACGUACGCCAGUAUGUGUGGAGCCGUCCUUGAAAUACCACCCUUGUAGUGUUGAUGUUCUAACGUCGACCCCUAAUCGGGGUUGCGGACAGUGCCUGGUGGGUAGUUUGACUGGGGCGGUCUCCUCCCAAAGAGUAACGGAGGAGCACGAAGGUGGGCUAAUCACGGUUGGACAUCGUGAGGUUAGUGCAAUGGCAUAAGCCCGCUUGACUGCGAGAAUGACAAUUCGAGCAGGUGCGAAAGCAGGUCAUAGUGAUCCGGUGGUUCUGAAUGGAAGGGCCAUCGCUCAACGGAUAAAAGGUACUCCGGGGAUAACAGGCUGAUACCGCCCAAGAGUUCAUAUCGACGGCGGUGUUUGGCACCUCGAUGUCGGCUCAUCACAUCCUGGGGCUGAAGUCGGUCCCAAGGGUAUGGCUGUUCGCCAUUUAAAGUGGUACGCGAGCUGGGUUUAGAACGUCGUGAGACAGUUCGGUCCCUAUCUGCCGUGGGCGUUGGAAGAUUGAAGGGGGCUGCUCCUAGUACGAGAGGACCGGAGUGGACGAACCUCUGGUGUUCGGGUUGUGUCGCCAGACGCAUUGCCCGGUAGCUAAGUUCGGAAUCGAUAACCGCUGAAAGCAUCUAAGCGGGAAGCGAGCCCUGAGAUGAGUCUUCCCUGAUACUUUAAGUAUCCUAAAGGGUUGUCGGAGACUACGACGUUGAUAGGUCAGGUGUGUAAGUGCUGUGAGGCAUUGAGCUAACUGAUACUAAUUGCCCGUGAGGCUUAACCAUACAACACCCAAGGGGUUU
RNAcentral lists this ribosomal RNA (1175 nucleotides) under Vibrio parahaemolyticus. RNAcentral's name for it is "partial 23S ribosomal RNA". It matches the Rfam family "Bacterial large subunit ribosomal RNA", at positions 1776 to 2925 of the family's 2925-position model. Lineage: Bacteria; Pseudomonadati; Pseudomonadota; Gammaproteobacteria; Vibrionales; Vibrionaceae. The record is from RNAcentral.